RNAcentral lists this ribosomal RNA (429 nucleotides) under Acidobacteriota bacterium. RNAcentral's name for it is "Acidobacteria bacterium partial 16S ribosomal RNA". It matches the Rfam family "Bacterial small subunit ribosomal RNA", at positions 355 to 776 of the family's 1533-position model. The record is from RNAcentral. Lineage: Bacteria; Pseudomonadati; Acidobacteriota.
UGGGGAAUUUUGGACAAUGGGGGAAACCCUGAUCCAGCCAUCCCGCGUGUGCGAUGAAGGCCUUCGGGUUGUAAAGCACUUUUUGCAGGAAAGAAACGUCAUGGGUUAAUACCCCGUGAAACUGACGGUACCUUCAGAAUAAGCACCGGCUAACUACGUGCCAGCAGCCGCGGUAAUACGUAGGGUGCAAGCGUUAAUCGGAAUUACUGGGCGUAAAGCGUGCGCAGGCGGUUCGGAAAGAAAGAUGUGAAAUCCCAGAGCUCAACUUUGGAACUGCAUUUUUAACUACCGGGCUAGAGUGUGUCAGAGGGAGGUGGAAUUCCGCGUGUAGCAGUGAAAUGCGUAGAUAUGCGGAGGAACACCGAUGGCGAAGGCAGCCUCCUGGGAUAACACUGACGCUCAUGCACGAAAGCGUGGGGAGCAAACAGG